AAUGAACGCUGGCGGCAGGCCUAAUACAUGCAAGUCGAGCGGAAGAAGUGUGCCAGCUCCUGCAUUCAGCGGCCGAUGAGUGGGUAAUGCCCAGGAAUCUGCCUGGCACUGGGGGAUCACGCCCGGAAACGGGCGCUAACACCGCAUACCACCUGCGGGAGAAACAGGAGCAUCUUCGGACCACACGCACUCAGUUGAGCCUAGGUCGCAUUAGCUAGUUGGUAGGGUAAAGGCCUACCAAGGCAAUGAUUCGUAUCUGGUCUGAGAGGAUGAUCAGUCACACUGGAACUGAGACACGGUCCAAACUCCUACGGGAGGCAGCAGUAGGGAAUAUUCGACAAUGGGCGAAAGCCUGAUGCAGCCAUGCCGCGUGUGUGAAGAAGGUCUUCGGAUUGUAAAACACUUUUGUUUGGGAAGAAGGUGAGUGAGUUUAUCCCUUGCUGUUUUGACGUUACCAACAGAGAAAGCACCGGCUAACUUCGUG
This 484-nucleotide ribosomal RNA is filed under the name uncultured bacterium. RNAcentral's name for it is "partial 16S ribosomal RNA". It matches the Rfam family "Bacterial small subunit ribosomal RNA", at positions 29 to 507 of the family's 1533-position model. The record is from RNAcentral.